This 814-nucleotide ribosomal RNA is filed under the name Crypthecodinium cohnii. RNAcentral's name for it is "partial Bacterial small subunit ribosomal RNA". It matches the Rfam family "Bacterial small subunit ribosomal RNA", at positions 11 to 846 of the family's 1533-position model. The record is from RNAcentral. Lineage: Eukaryota; Dinophyceae; Gonyaulacales; Crypthecodiniaceae.
GUUUGAUCCUGGCUCAGGACGAACGCUGGCGGCGUGCUUAACACAUGCAAGUCGAACGGUGAACCCUUCGGGGGGAUCAGUGGCGAACGGGUGAGUAACACGUGAGCAACCUGCCCUUGGCUCUGGGACAACCACUGGAAACGGUGGCUAAUACCGGAUACGACCCAUGCAGGCAUCUGUUGUGGGUGGAAAGAUUUUUCGGCUGGGGAUGGGCUCGCGGCCUAUCAGCUUGUUGGUGGGGUAAUGGCCUACCAAGGCGACGACGGGUAGCCGGCCUGAGAGGGUGACCAGCCACACUGGGACUGAGACACGGCCCAGACUCCUACGGGAGGCAGCAGUGGGGAAUAUUGGACAAUGGGCGCAAGCCUGAUCCAGCCAUGCCGCGUGAGUGAUGAAGGCCUUAGGGUUGUAAAGCUCUUUUACCCGGGAUGAUAAUGACAGUACCGGGAGAAUAAGCCCCGGCUAACUCCGUGCCAGCAGCCGCGGUAAUACGAAGGGGGCUAGCGUUGUUCGGAAUUACUGGGCGUAAAGCGCACGUAGGCGGUUUGUUAAGUCAGGGGUGAAAUCCCACAGCUCAACUGUGGAACUGCCUUUGAUACUGGCAAGCUAGAGUCCGGAAGAGGUAAGUGGAACUCCUAGUGUAGAGGUGGAAUUCGUAGAUAUUAGGAAGAACACCAGUGGCGAAGGCGGCUCACUGGCUCGAUACUGACGCUGAGGUGCGAAAGCGUGGGGAGCAAACAGGCUUAGAUACCCUGGUAGUCCACCCCGUAAACGUUGGGAACUAGUUGUGGGGGCCUUUCCACGGUCUCCGUGA